CACUAUUUGUAAGGCAACAUAGUUUAAUGAAAAGAAUUGUGGUAAACAUAAUUAGGUGAUUAACACAGAAGAGGCAAAUAGUAAACAAGUCAGAAGAAACAACCCCCUCCAAAAAAUAAAAAGUAACUGAUUUACUUGGUAUCCAAGAAGUUACGUUAUUGCUAGACCUAAUAGAAUGGAGAGAUGGAAUGAUGUAGGGAGAAAGGCUCUGAAAUCACAACUGGUUGGAAAAAAAAUUUUAAUUACAUAAUCUUAUUUGUCACAUCCAUCUGCCAGAUGUAGAGCUUAUUGCUGUUUGUGGAGAUGUGCAGACCAAUAAAAAGCCUAUUUAAUGCUCUCUUAAACUACCAGUAACUAAAAAAAAAAAUUGACAGUGACUGAAAUUAUGAAAACAAAAAAAUUCGGUAGCAUCUUAACAUGUAAUUUCUGACAUAUUUGUAGUGAAUCCAUUGAAGACAAACAUCAGAGGAGUACAACAAAUAACAUUUCAUAGAAACUUUGAAAACUGGCAGCAAAAUUACUACUAAUUUGUUUGAUAACUAGAUGUCUGCUGAAAUUGGUAUAAACCAUUUGCUCAAAAGUAGCCAGGCAUGGUGAUGCAUGCCUGUAUUCCUAGCUACUCCCAGAGGCUGAAGCUGAACAAUCACUUUAGUCCAGGAGUUCGAGACUGCAGUGAGUCAUGAUCACACCAGUGCACUCCAGCCUGGACGACAGAGGGAGACCCUGUCUCAAAAAGUAAAUAGGCCGGAUGCAGUGGGUCAUGCCUGUAAUCCCAGCACCUUGGGAGGCCAAGUCAGGUGGAUCAUUUUGAGGUCUGGAGUUUGAGACUAGCCUGGCCAACAUUUUGAAACCCCAUCUGUACUAAAAAUAUAAAAGUUAGCCAGGUGUGGUGGUGUGCGCCUGUAAUCCCAGUUAUUCGGGAGACUGAGGCAGGAGAAUCACUUGGGCCUGGGAGGCGGAGGUUGUGGUGAGCCAAGAUCUUGCCACUGCACUCCAGUCUGGGUGACAGUGAGACACUGUCUCUAAAUAAAACCACAUUAUCAAAAGUCUGAUCUGCUCUCCUUUACAGAAAUACUUUAUCUUUACUUCUCUCUCGAACCCACAGACUUCAUUCCCACACUUCUGGACCUGUUCAAGAUCAUCUGUAGCAUCCAUGUUUUCAAGUCUGAUUUUUAUUUCUCAGUCUUCAUCUCCACUUGUCAGCAGCAUUUGACACAGCUGAUAACUUUCUUCUCCUUAAAGUUCCUUAUCUUGCCUACCAGGAUUUCAUUUUCUUUCUUGCUUCUCUUCCUUCCCAAAUGGCUGUUCCUUAGACUCCUUACUGGUUUCUCCUUCUUUUCCAGCCUCUAAAUGCUGGAGUGGCGUGAGAUUCAAAUCUUACAACCCGCACUCCUCUGUUCUCUCUCCCUAGGCAAUCUCAUUCAGAUCUCUGGCUGGAUGAAACCCACAUUUGAAUUUCCAGUCCACACCUUUCCUCUGAACACAAGACUCACACUUAACUGCCUACUGUAUAGCACUGCUUGAGUUUCUAACAGGCAUCACAAACUUAAUGUAUUCAAAACGAAACUCUUAAUCUCCCCCCACCCCAAACAAGUCCUGCUGAGAUCUUCCCAAUCUCUUGAAAUGACAACUCCAUUCUUCUAGUGGAGGCUAAAAACUUUGGAGUCAUCUUUGAUUGUUUUAUAUCUCACAUUGACUCCAUCAACAAAUUUUGCCAGCAUUACCUUCAAAAUGUAUCCACAAUCUGAUCUCUGUAACCCACCUCCAGCAAGUUCACUCUGGUCCAAGCCACCAUCAUUAAACCUGGACCGUGGCAAAGGCUUUCUAACUGAUCUUGCCCUUCUAUGCCUGCUUCCACAUUGUUUGCUGUCUCAUACAGUGCAGUAAUCCCUUAAAAAGUCAGAUAAUAUUCCAAUCUUGAAUAAAAGCCAAAGUUAUAGCCAUGAUCCACUAGGCCAUAUGUAAACUGCCUGUUACUUCUGGCUUCUUAUCCACUGACUUCUUUAUUUGCUCUUUUUUUGUUUUUGUUUUUGUUUUUGUUUGAGACUGAUUCUCACUGUCGCCAGGCUGGAGUGCAGUGGGAUGAUCUUGGCUCACUGCAACCUCUGCCUCCCAGGUUCAAGCAAUGCUCCUGCCUCAGCCUCCUGAGUAGCUGGGACUACAGGCACGUGCCACCACACCCAGCUAAUUUUUGUAUUUUUAGUAGAGACGGGGUUUCACCAUGUUGGCCAGGAUGGUCUCCAUCUCUUGACCUCGUGAUCCACCCACCUCAGCCUCCCAAAGUGCUGGGAUUACAGGCGUGAGCCACCGCGCUCAGCCCUGCUUUCUCAUUCUUUUCCCACCAUUCUACCCUCCCUCCCUGUUUUCUCCAGUAUACCAAGCAUGCCUCUGCCUCAGGACCUUUGCACUGCUGUCCCUUUGCCUGGAAUCCUCUUCCCCCUUAGUACUUGCUUGGCUCACACCCUCACUUCUUCAGGUCUCUGCUUAAGUCUUGUCUUGUUUAAUUGAGAACUCUACAUGAUGGCGCCCUACCACCAUGUUGCUCCCUUAACCCUGAUCUAUUUUUCCUAAACCAUUUGCCAUAUAUUUUGUUUAUUGGUUGUUUCCCACUAGAAUGAAUGCUUCAUGUGGCAUACCAUAAAUAUUUGUUGAAUUAAAGGAUAUUUGCCUGCAGAAACGUAUACGAUAAAAAUAGCAAAAUUGAAUUCUCAAGAGGAAAAAGCUUGGGUUCUAUUUCUGUUUGCUUUGUGAAAGAAUAAAAGAAUUACAAAUCCA
RNAcentral lists this long non-coding RNA (2775 nucleotides) under Homo sapiens (human). RNAcentral's name for it is "HSALNT0357003". The record is from RNAcentral. Lineage: Eukaryota; Metazoa; Chordata; Mammalia; Primates; Hominidae.